This 535-nucleotide ribosomal RNA is filed under the name uncultured bacterium. Its description in RNAcentral is "bacterial SSU rRNA". It matches the Rfam family "Bacterial small subunit ribosomal RNA", at positions 777 to 1304 of the family's 1533-position model. The record is from RNAcentral.
AAUAGAUACCCCGGUAGUCCACGCCGUAAACGGUGGGCACUAGGUGUGGGCGACAUUCCACGUCGUCCGUGCCGCAGCUAACGCAUUAAGUGCCCCGCCUGGGGAGUACGGCCGCAAGGCUAAAAACUCAAAGGAAUUGACGGGGGCCCGCACAAGCGGCGGAGCAUGUGGCUUAAUUCGACGCAACGCGAAGAACCUUACCAAGGCUUGACAUACACCGGAAACGUCCAGAGAUGGGCGCCCCCUUGUGGUCGGUGUACAGGUGGUGCAUGGCUGUCGUCAGCUCGUGUCGUGAGAUGUUGGGUUAAGUCCCGCAACGAGCGCAACCCUUGUCCCGUGUUGCCAGCAGGCCCUUGUGGUGCUGGGGACUCACGGGAGACCGCCGGGGUCAACUCGGAGGAAGGUGGGGACGACGUCAAGUCAUCAUGCCCCUUAUGUCUUGGGCUGCACACGUGCUACAAUGGCCGGUACAAUGAGCUGCGAUACCGCGAGGUGGAGCGAAUCUCAAAAAGCCGGUCUCAGUUCGGAUUGGGGU